UCAUCUUUGCCCUCGACUCUCUCGCGUUCUCCUCUCUCAAACUGCUUCUCUUCUCACUUGGUUGAUCUCUAUCUCUGUCUCGUGGCUUUACUCACCAAUGAAGGUUUCUCAAAAAGAUCAAAAUCACUUUGAUAUAGUGGAACUAGAAGAUUAGGAUCAAAUCCCUAAUUCCAUAAAAUAUGCGAAAUCUCUUAAUUGCCAUGAUUGUUUUGUUUUCCCAAAUUCUUUCUUUGUUUUUUCGGAAGCAACACAGAAAUUGAAGAUGGUAGACAUUGAGAGUUCAUGUAUUAUCUACACUUUAUAGGUUUGAACCGAUUUGCUCUCUUCUUGUUUGUUUUUCCAGAUGGCUAGUCAUGUUUAUUAUAUUUGGAAUUUUUAGGACUGGAGUCAAAUAUGUUGAUCAUGUAGCAAUUAAACUUUGCAAGCUCAAUUUGGCUGUAUACAGUAUGUUAGAGCUUUAGUUUGUUUUUGCCAAGUACAACUAUAAUUUUAGUCCUUAUUUUUUAGAAGAGUAAAUUUCAUCUUAAAUUGGGUUUGACUUCUAAAUGGGAAUAUAUAUAUAUAUAUAUAUAUAUAUUGCAAGGCCAGGGCUGCUCCCUUCAAGGGAAUAUAUAUGGUUCAGUUGGAGAAGUCAUGCUUCAAUGUAAUAUUAUGCUUCAGGCUAUAUUUGGUGCGACGUGCUUUUAUGUUGGUCAAUGAAAUGAAUUUCUUUGGGUAAUGAUUGUUUAUUAAGAACCUAGUUUAAUCUUUUGGAUCUUAUUUGAUACAAAUAGGUUUUUUUUUUUGGCUUGGACUUGUUGUCCAUAUAUGCUAUUGAAUUCUUGAUAAUUAGGCAGGUGGCAGAACAAUUGAUGAUUAUGCAUGAAGAAUACUUGCAUAGAAAUCAAUAGGUCUCAGCUGUAAGUUAAAAGAUUUUUUCUCAAAGCAGAGAGGUAACCAUAGUUAUAGCCAUCAGAGUAAAAUAUUCUUUACUUCAUGUCUUUGCUAUGCAUCUUCUCAUGUCAUAUGGAGCAACAUUUCAUUCUUUAAGGUUUCUUUUUGUUAAAAAUUAAAGAAGUUUUGAUGCCGUGUUAGAAGAUUCAAGUUACAAUGUAAAAUAAGAGGUUGAGACUGAUUAUGUUUUGAAAGUAUUGAAUUUCUUAUGGAAACAAGGUCGAUUGGGUUACACACAUAUUUGGCUGAUAAGUCCAACUUUUUGAUCUCUUAACGAUUAAUUACAUGUGUUUCUUGAUUAAUUUUCCUAGUUUAGUUGAUGUGUUUUUCAUCAUCCUCUCAUUCUUUUUUUUUUCCCCUCUUUUUGUUGUAUACAAUUUUCAUUAGACGAACACUAGUAUUUAUUGAGGUAGAGAGUUAACAUGCACUAAAGUUUCAUAUUGUUCAACCAAUUUUUGGGUUCAUUUUGAUGAUAGUAGGUUCUAAAAUAAAUUUGCUAUAGGCCACCUUUAGUGCAUAAUUUGGUAUAUCCUAUGUCACUAUGAAAGCUGCUUAUAAUUGGAAGACCAAAGUUAAGUUUUACUUUGUGUUUUUGUUCUUGCAAAUAAACUAGUCAUACUAUUGUUUUUUUUUUUUUUUUUUUUUUUUUUUUUUUUUAAUGAAGAAAAAAGAAAAGGGGGCUAGUUAUAUUUGUCCUCUAUGGCAGGAGAGGUAAGUUUGAUUUUUUAUUCUGCUAUGUUGUUUAUUGUUUGUGUGUGGGCUGCUGUAAUAUCCUGACAAACUAUAUUGUUAAUUAAUGAGGAUUAUGUACUUAUUCAAUCUUUGGAAAUCUGAUUUACUUAUUUUUAUACAUAAUUCCUUGAACUUAUAAGAUUCAGCUUUGAAGAGUGUGAAUAUUAAUUUUCAUGUGCUGAUUGAAGCUAAUUCCUUGUUUUAAGUUUUAAGUUUAACCCUAAAUGACUACACGAAAUUGUAAUUGCAAUGACUGAGUUCUAUGCUGCCUUAUGGCUGCCCAGGGGUAUUUUGGUUACUUAAUUAAGAAUGUUGAUGCAAGUAAGAAAACCAAAGGAUGGCUUGUUAAUACUCUGCCAUUUGGUUAUUUAGAAAAUGUCAUUUUAGAAAAAAUCAUUUACUUUGAAUUUGGUAGACAAGCUGUAAAAACCUAAUGAAUUAUUAAACCCUUGCAAUUGAAUUGAAUGUGUUUCCUUCGUUAUAUGAUUGAAUAUGAAUGUGAAUAUAAUGAUUUUUCUUUGGUUAUGUGAAUCAUGUUUUUUGAUAUAUGUAUCUUGUGUUUGGGGAACCUCUUUGUGGUAGGAUUAGGAUUUCCUUGAUUUUGAGAGCUAGGUUUUGUAGAUGUAUGUAUAAGUUUAUGCUAAGGUAGAAUUAAUAGUAAUAAGCUUUGAUAUUUGGUAUAGGUAUUACCAGCGCCCAAGUCUAAGCUCCUUUGACCUUAGGCUCUUGAUUUAUCUGCUUUCAGGUUUUAUUUUGGAGCAGAGGGAUCCUUAGUUGAGUUUUGGGAGGAACUCGUUUUAGCUUUAAAAGUAUAGCCCUUGUUUUGGAAGUUUGAUGCUUAGCUUUGUAGUAUUGUGUAUUUUAGAAUCCAAUGAAAGUUGUGUACUUUAAUAUAUUAAGAGAUGUAUUAUGUGAAAUUCCGAAAUUGAAUAACUAGUGGAUUAAGUUA
Quercus robur (English oak) is the source of this 2614-nucleotide long non-coding RNA. RefSeq lists it as uncharacterized. Lineage: Eukaryota; Viridiplantae; Streptophyta; Magnoliopsida; Fagales; Fagaceae. The record is from RefSeq and is a predicted model, not a curated record. The transcript is spliced from 2 exons.